AGCCCCGUGGUGUAGUGGUCAAGCAUACCGGGCUUUGGACCCGGUGACGCCGGUUCGAAUCCGGCCGGGGCUA
Molecule: transfer RNA, 73 nt
Filed under: Candidatus Methanodesulfokora washburnensis
Lineage: Archaea; Thermoproteati; Thermoproteota; Candidatus Korarchaeia
Also listed under: 1 other name
Description: tRNA-Gln
Rfam family: tRNA
About the family: Transfer RNA (tRNA) molecules are approximately 80 nucleotides in length.
Source: RNAcentral